This is a long non-coding RNA of Magnolia sinica, 1339 nucleotides long. RefSeq lists it as uncharacterized. The transcript has 5 exons. Lineage: Eukaryota; Viridiplantae; Streptophyta; Magnoliopsida; Magnoliales; Magnoliaceae. The record is from RefSeq and is a predicted model, not a curated record.
UUUAGGCUUCUACUUUUUUCUUUUUCUUUUUUUCCUUUUUUUUUUUAAUAAGAAACUAAAUCAGGCACAUAACAUGGGUCUUUCAAAAACUUGAAGAAGUCCUGCAAAUCCAUUCGCAUGUUUUCCUCCACAGACUCGACUCAAGACCAUUUGUGCAGACCAGGCUGUUGAAUUUCUAUGCAAAAUAUGAAGAGAUUGGGUGUGCAUGUGGGGUGUUUGAUGAAAUUCCUAAGAGGAAUUUGAUCAUGUGGAGUGUAAUGAUUUGUGUGACUCAAUCAUUUCAAAAUCUGAGAACUUUGAAUUAAAAACUCCAUGGGAAGUGUUGAUGAUAAUCAAAUAGUCUACAACAAGCCAACCAAUCAGUGGCCUGCAAAAGCAGCGGUUUUCUCAAAACAGAGAUGAUCUGUGUAGCUCAUCAUGAUGCCCUAGCUUAAUGGUCCUGUGGGUCCUGAUAACUAUCUUUCAUGUGUGGUAGGAUUCCUUGAUUGAUUGAUUCAAAGACAUUUGAUUCUCAGGUUCAUGUCGCCCAUGAUGCCCUGGCUUAACGGUUGUUGUUUUCUCGCAUCAAUGAAGAGCUUGAUCAAAUAAAGAAAGUGAAAAAUGGAUGAAGAUGGUCAGGUCAUGCAGGUGGACCGUUCACCCAUUUGAAGUUAGAGAUCUUCCUUAGCUCAGGAACUGUUUGCCUCUCUAUUUAUUCAUUGGUUGCCGGGAUCUUUGGCGUGAAUCUCCCAUAUACAUGGAAUCUAAACCAUGGAUAUCUAUUUAAAUGGGAAUUGACUCUGCUUCCCAACUGCUACAUUGAGGAUAAGAUGUGGCUGCUGAAAUUGUACAUUAAGGUAAUUGAUUAUGGAGUUCAUAAGCUUUGGAAAUACAAUAACGUUGGGGUAUUUCAUCUAUUACCUACCUUGUCAAUUCCAUGUUGAAUUGCCUCAUUGAGCUGCUUGUGAAAACUAUCCGGUCCUCUUCUUAAUAGACCUUUUUUUUUUUUUCAAAAGGAGGGGUCUCACCCCCAUAUUUGACAAUAUGAACAGGGGAUGUACAAUCCACACACAUUCAGGUGGGCACCACAAAAAUGUCGGGCCUCACAAUCAAGUGUUGCUGCAAAUUCGUUUAAAGCAAGCCGUUUCAUAUUUCUGGUGUGGCCCUAUUUAAAUCAAGGGAAGGCAUCUCCUCUCACAUUGUUCCCUUGUGUUGUGGCCCACAUGACUGUUGGAUCAGGUGGAUUUAGGUAAUGUGUGGUGAUACAUCUGAUAGAUAGGGUUGGUGGCCUUCAUACAUCAAGUGGGUGCCACAUACCAGUACCACUCUAGCAUAGCUGGGAUGAGACCAUGAUGAUGAU